UUUCCACCUAUGGUAACGCCGGUCUCCUAAGGUGAGCUCAGGGAGGUCAGAAACCUCUGUGAAGCAUAAGGGCAAAAGCUCACUUAAUCUUGAUUUUCAUUACUAAUACAGACCAUGAAAGUGAGGCCUCACAAUCCUUCUGACCUUUUGGGUUUUAAGCAGGAG
Molecule: non-coding RNA, 165 nt
Filed under: Chlorocebus sabaeus (green monkey)
Lineage: Eukaryota; Metazoa; Chordata; Mammalia; Primates; Cercopithecidae
Description: Eukaryotic large subunit ribosomal RNA
Rfam family: Eukaryotic large subunit ribosomal RNA
Source: Rfam by way of RNAcentral